UCGAGAAUUUUUCACAAUGGGCGAAAGCCUGAUGGAGCGACGCCGCGUGGGGGAUGAAUGGCUUCGGCCCGUAAACCCCUGUCAUUCGCGAGCAAACGUUAUUAUUUAAAAGAUGAUAGCCUGAUAGUAGCGAAAGAGGAAGGGACGGCUAACUCUGUGCCAGCAGCCGCGGUAAUACAGAGGUCCCAAGCGUUGUUCGGAUUUACUGGGCGUAAAGGGUGCGUAGGUGGUGGGGUAAGUCGGAUGCGAAAUCUCCGAGCUCAACUCGGAAAGUGCAUUGGAAACUACCCUGCUCGAGGGUUGGAGGGGGGGCUGGAAUACUUGGUGUAGCAGUGAAAUGCGUAGAUAUCCAGUGGAACACCAGUGGCGAAGGCGAGUCCCUGGACAACUCCUGACACUGAGGCACGAAAGCUAGGGGAGCAAACAG
This 427-nucleotide ribosomal RNA is filed under the name uncultured bacterium. RNAcentral's name for it is "bacterial SSU rRNA". It matches the Rfam family "Bacterial small subunit ribosomal RNA", at positions 355 to 775 of the family's 1533-position model. The record is from RNAcentral.